CGGGUGAGUAACGCGUAGAUAAUCUGCCUUAGACUCUGGGAUAACAUCUCGAAAGGGGUGCUAAUACCGGAUAAGCCCACGGGGACGUGAGUUCUUGCGGGAAAAGGGGGCCUCUGCAUAUGCUCUUGAUCUAAGAUGAGUCUGCGUACCAUUAGCUUGUUGGUAGGGUAAUGGCCUACCAAGGCGACGAUGGUUAGCUGGUCUGAGAGGAUGAUCAGCCACACUGGGACUGAGACACGGCCCAGACUCCUACGGGAGGCAGCAGUGGGGAAUUUUGCGCAAUGGGGGAAACCCUGACGCAGCAACGCCGCGUGAGUGAUGAAGGCUUUCGGGUCGUAAAGCUCUGUCUAGAGGGAAGAAGUGAUAUUUGGUUAAUACCCAGAUUUCUUGACGGUACCUCUGAAGGAAGCACCGGCUAACUCCGUGCCAGCAGCCGCGGUAAUACGGAGGGUGCAAGCGUUGUUCGGGAUUAUUGGGCGUAAAGCGCGUGUAGGCGGUUUGUUAAGUCUGAUGUGAAAGCCCUGGGCUCAACCUGGGAAGUGCAUUGGAAACUGGCAGACUUGAAUACGGGAGAGGGUAGUGGAAUUCCGAGUGUAGGAGUGAAAUCCGUAGAUAUUCGGAGGAACACCGGUGGCGAAGGCGGCUACCUGGACCGAUAUUGACGCUGAGACGCGAAAGCGUGGGUAGCAAACAGGAUUAGAUACCCUGGUAGUCCACGCCGUAAACGAUGUUUUCUAGGUGUUGC
RNAcentral lists this ribosomal RNA (745 nucleotides) under uncultured bacterium. Its description in RNAcentral is "bacterial SSU rRNA". It matches the Rfam family "Bacterial small subunit ribosomal RNA", at positions 103 to 826 of the family's 1533-position model. The record is from RNAcentral.